AGGGUAAUUAUUGUUAAAUGUCAGGUUAACUCUGAAGGCCUGGGCUCAUCCAACUGAGAGCAGAUUAGCCCAGAUGGAGACAUUUUCAACACGGAGCUGUCUGGCCAAUCAGAGACAGCUGGGAUUAGCCAAAUACCUUCUCUCAUCUGCUUGCUCACAGAAAGGCCCCUAAGCUACCUGUCUCCUGAAGCAGAAGCCGCCAGAGCAGCCACCCACAGCAGUAAGAACAUCAUUAAUUACAUUGCUUCAAGAUCUUGAACUGAUUGGACCACAGAUUGUCAUGUUUAUUAUAUUUAUAUUAAUGUUCAAGGCAAUUACUAGGCUUUGAACCAAGGUAAGAAAAAUUCAAGUUUAAAUUGCAAAUUCUCUGCUGUUUAAAAGGCCCACACCUUUUAAAGGAAGAAGAGGUCUGAGGUCAAGGAACAUGUCCACCGUAUCACACCCGGAACUCCUGUUUCUCUUCUUAGCAUGCCUUUAAACGCUGCAGCACCUGGAAUUGGAAGAAGGAGACAAAUGCAAAGACAGAGAGCCGCUGAACACUCAUGGAAGUCUGAGUUGCACUGCUGUUCUCAGUGUGCCAGAAUCUGCAGCUACUUCUCAACUGGCUUCAGGAGAAAGCUGGACCAAGAGGGGAUUCAGCGCAGUCUAGAGUCUAGAACUCGAAUAGAUUCUUGGUGUUCUAAAAUCCACAUAAACAUUUGUUCACGGACACCUCGCCUGGCCACCAGUGUCUCCGUCUUCAUCUUCCCAGGGAAGCAGAGGUUCUGAAGGUCUCCACACACAUGGACUCCAGGGACAGAAAACUGGAGGAAAAUGAGUAGGUAAAAUUCUGAGAGGAGUUACAAAGCCAACCCACAUAGGGAUGGUUAUCCAGACUUGACUGUGGUGAAGAGUUCUGGUCAGGAGAUCCCAGUGGUGCCCACCUCUCCUUACUCAUUUCUAGGGGGACCUGACAAUUGGACUUCAUUGUAAAAACACGCAUGGAACACCUGCUCCCUUAUGGGCACUGCAAGGAGAAGGACAAAGGAUACAUUGUUCCUUAACAGUACUGCGUGGAAAAUGGGGAGGUGGGGAGAGGGAGAGAGAGGGAGAAAGGAAGACAGGGAGGGAGAGAAGAGAGAGCGA
This is a long non-coding RNA of Fukomys damarensis (Damara mole-rat), 1125 nucleotides long. Lineage: Eukaryota; Metazoa; Chordata; Mammalia; Rodentia; Bathyergidae. The record is from Ensembl.